This 119-nucleotide ribosomal RNA is filed under the name Cebus imitator (Panamanian white-faced capuchin). Lineage: Eukaryota; Metazoa; Chordata; Mammalia; Primates; Cebidae. The record is from RNAcentral.
UACUCAGGCCAUACCACCCUGAACGCACCCGAUCGCGUCUGAUCUCAGAAGCUAAGCAGGGUCGGGCCUGGUUAGUAUUUGGAUGGGAUACUGCCUGGGAAUACCGGGUACUGUAGGCU